AUAUUUCGGAACCGAAUCUAGUUCCUUCGAUCGAUAUCAAUCUAGUUCCUUUGAUAUCGAAGGAACUAGAUUCGGUUCCGAAAUAU
Molecule: non-coding RNA, 86 nt
Organism: Paramuricea clavata
Lineage: Eukaryota; Metazoa; Cnidaria; Anthozoa; Malacalcyonacea; Plexauridae
Source: the annotation of a GenBank genome assembly